RNAcentral lists this ribosomal RNA (492 nucleotides) under uncultured bacterium. RNAcentral describes it as "partial 16S ribosomal RNA". It matches the Rfam family "Bacterial small subunit ribosomal RNA", at positions 29 to 507 of the family's 1533-position model. The record is from RNAcentral.
AGUGAACGCUGGCGGUAGGCCUAACACAUGCAAGUCGAACGGCAGCACAGUAAGAGCUUGCUCUUACGGGUGGCGAGUGGCGGACGGGUGAGGAAUACAUCGGAAUCUACUUUUUUGUGGGGGAUAACGUAGGGAAACUUACGCUAAUACCGCAUACGACCUACGGGUGAAAGCAGGGGAUCUUCGGACCUUGCGCGAUUGAAUGAGCCGAUGUCGGAUUAGCUAGUUGGCGGGGUAAAGGCCCACCAAGGCGACGAUCCGUAGCUGGUCUGAGAGGAUGAUCAGCCACACUGGAACUGAGACACGGUCCAGACUCCUACGGGAGGCAGCAGUGGGGAAUAUUGGACAAUGGGCGCAAGCCUGAUCCAGCCAUACCGCGUGGGUGAAGAAGGCCUUCGGGUUGUAAAGCCCUUUUGUUAGGAAAGAAAAGCAGCAGGUUAAUACCCCGCUGUUCUGACGGUACCCAAAGAAUAAGCACCGGCUAACUUCGUG